RNAcentral lists this ribosomal RNA (157 nucleotides) under uncultured bacterium. RNAcentral describes it as "partial 16S ribosomal RNA". It matches the Rfam family "Bacterial small subunit ribosomal RNA", at positions 355 to 509 of the family's 1533-position model. The record is from RNAcentral.
UGAGGAAUAUUGGUCAAUGGGCGGAAGUCUGAACCAGCCAAGUCGCGUGAGGGACGACGGUCCUAUGGAUUGUAAACCUCUUUUGCCGGGGAGCAAAGCCGACCUUGCGAGGUUGGAAGGAGAGUACCCGGAGAAAAGCAUCGGCUAACUCCGUGCC